This 1371-nucleotide ribosomal RNA is filed under the name uncultured bacterium. RNAcentral's name for it is "bacterial SSU rRNA". It matches the Rfam family "Bacterial small subunit ribosomal RNA", at positions 28 to 1381 of the family's 1533-position model. The record is from RNAcentral.
GAUGAACGCUGGCGGCGUGCCUAAUACAUGCAAGUCGAGCGAACGGACGAGAAGCUUGCUUCUCUGAUGUUAGCGGCGGACGGGUGAGUAACACGUGGAUAACCUACCUAUAAGACUGGGAUAACUUCGGGAAACCGGAGCUAAUACCGGAUAAUAUUUUGAACCGCAUGGUUCAAAAGUGAAAGACGGUCUUGCUGUCACUUAUAGAUGGAUCCGCGCUGCAUUAGCUAGUUGGUAAGGUAACGGCUUACCAAGGCAACGAUGCAUAGCCGACCUGAGAGGGUGAUCGGCCACACUGGAACUGAGACACGGUCCAGACUCCUACGGGAGGCAGCAGUAGGGAAUCUUCCGCAAUGGGCGAAAGCCUGACGGAGCAACGCCGCGUGAGUGAUGAAGGUCUUCGGAUCGUAAAACUCUGUUAUUAGGGAAGAACAUAUGUGUAAGUAACUGUGCACAUCUUGACGGUACCUAAUCAGAAAGCCACGGCUAACUACGUGCCAGCAGCCGCGGUAAUACGUAGGUGGCAAGCGUUACCCGGAAUUAUUGGGCGUAAAGCGCGCGUAGGCGGUUUUUUAGUCUGAUGUGAAAGCCCACGGCUCAACCGUGGAGGGUCAUUGGAAACUGGAAAACUUGAGUGCAGAAGAGGAAAGUGGAAUUCCAUGUGUAGCGGUGAAAUGCGCAGAGAUAUGGAGGAACACCAGUGGCGAAGGCGACUUUCUGGUCUGUAACUGACGCUGAUGUGCGAAAGCGUGGGGAUCAAACAGGAUUAGAUACCCUGGUAGUCCACGCCGUAAACGAUGAGUGCUAAGUGUUAGGGGGUUUCCGCCCCUUAGUGCUGCAGCUAACGCAUUAAGCACUCCGCCUGGGGAGUACGACCGCAAGGUUGAAGCUCAAAGGAAUUGACGGGGACCCGCACAAGCGGUGGAGCAUGUGGUUUAAUUCGAAGCAACGCGAAGAACCUUACCAAAUCUUGACAUCCUUUGACAACUCUAGAGAUAGAGCUUUCCCCUUCGGGGGACAAAGUGACAGGUGGUGCAUGGUUGUCGUCAGCUCGUGUCGUGAGAUGUUGGGUUAAGUCCCGCAACGAGCGCAACCCUUAAGCUUAGUUGCCAUCAUUAAGUUGGGCACUCUAAGUUGACUGCCGGUGACAAACCGGAGGAAGGUGGGGAUGACGUCAAGUCAUCAUGCCCCUUAUGAUUUGGGCUACACACGUGCUACAAUGGACAAUACAAAGGGCAGCGAAACCGCGAGGUCAAGCAAAUCCCAUAAAGUUGUUCUCAGUUCGGAUUGUAGUCUGCAACUCGACUACAUGAAGCUGGAAUCGCUAGUAAUCGUAGAUCAGCAUGCUACGGUGAAUACGUUCCCGGGUCU